GGGUAAGCGUAGGCGGCUGAUUAAGUCAGCGGUGAAAGGUAGCAGCUUAACUGUUUUACAUGCCGUUGAUACUGGUUAGCUUGAGUUGACAGAAGGCAGAUAGAAUUCCUGGUGUAGCGGUGAAAUGCUUAGAUACCAGGAGGAAUACCGAUUGCGAAGGCAGUCUGCUGCAGUCACACUGACGCUGAGGCUCGAAGGUGCGGGGAUCAAACAGGAUUAGAUACCCGAGU
Molecule: ribosomal RNA, 230 nt
Filed under: uncultured bacterium
Lineage: Bacteria
Description: partial 16S ribosomal RNA
Rfam family: Bacterial small subunit ribosomal RNA
Source: RNAcentral